AGCUGACAAAGGAGCAAGUUGCUCAGUUCCGAGAAGCGGUUUCCAAGGACUACUACUUCCAAAUGUACUACGAUGACUUGCCCAUUUGGGGUUUCAUAGGGAAAGUUGAAAAGGAAGGCAAGAAUGACCCUAGCGAAUACAAAUAUUACCUCCUUAAGCAUCUUCACUUCACCAUCUUUUACAACAAGGAUCGUGUCAUUGAGAUAACUGCACUAUCCGAUCCGAAAAAUGUUGUGGACCUGACUGAAGAUAAGGAAGUUAACGUGGAGUUCAUGUAUUCAGUUAAAUGGAAGGAAACAGAAAUUCCAUAUGAGAAAAGGAUGGAGAAAUAUUCACAAUCUUCUUCACUGCCUCAUCACUUGGAAAUUCAUUGGUUCUCAAUUAUUAACUCAUGCGUGACUGUUCUCCUCUUGACUGGCUUUCUUGCAACAAUUCUCAUGCGAGUCCUGAAGAAUGAUUUUGUCAAGUAAGAACAUGUUAAUGACUUAUGUCGUUAGAACAUCACUAACAUUGUUUAAGCUUUCUGGUUUAUUUAUUUGGUGAUGCUCCCAUUUACAAUAGGUAUGCUCACGAUGAGGAAUCAGCUGAAGACCAAGAAGAGACCGGGUGGAAGUACAUCCAUGGUGAUGUAUUUAGAUAUCCAAAGUAUAAGUCUGUACUUGCGGCAGCAGUUGGCUCUGGCACCCAGCUGUUUACUCUGUAAGUUUAACUUCAAAGCUGUGCGUGUGGGGUUUCUGUCUCAAACCUUUUUUUUAAUUAUUGUAUGUUGCUAAGCAACCUGCUAACUUUGUAUAUAUACAUACUUUGCAGCACAUUUUUCAUUUUCUUACUCGCUCUAGUUGGUGUCUUUUAUCCUUAUAAUCGUGGAGCUCUUUUCACCGCAUUGGUUGUCAUAUAUGCCCUUACAGCUGGGAUUGCUGGCUACACUGCAGCCUCUUUCUUUUGCCAACUGGAAGGAACAAACUGGGUGAGUGAUCAUGGGUUCCUUUUUCACUGCCUCUUGCACACAAUUCUUGGGCAUGCCCAAAGCACUUUUUAUUGAAGCACUUGUUAUUGGUGCACUUGUUAUUGGUGUAUUUCUAUAAGGUUAAUGUUAUCAGAUUCAGUACGCAUACAUAGUGGAAUUGCAGUUUUUUUUAGGAUCUGAUUGGUUUUGUGAUAAGUGCUUUGUGAAAAUUGGUAUAAGCAUGGGUAAGGGGGCUGAAAACCACCUUAUGCUGGGUAAAUUGUUUUCCUUAUGUAUCAUAUCUGAACCCAUUUGAUGCUGCAAAAAAAACCUGUCCUAGAGAAAGAGAAGAGUGUACUUAAAAGUUGAUGGCUUAACGCUGCCUGAAGCCUUGCACUAAAUUUUUAAAAAAGUGAUUUUGAGAAGUCAAUAAACUAAAGAUCAACACUUAGAGAGUCACAUUUAAAUGUAUCACUUUAGGUGCAUUGAAACUGAGUAAUGCUAGACAUGGAUACAAGUACAAUUGAUUAUUUCAUGCUGGUUGUGGUUUCUAUGAAGACUAGCGUGGUUUGCAUUUGUUGGUCUUAUGAUAUUGAUAUAUUAAUUAUUAAUUAUUAUGAUGAUGUAAGUUCUCUUUGGCAUUGAUGGAAUUCCUUGUGAUCCUAGUCUGUAUCAUUGCUGAAUUUCUAGCUUUACUCUAGAAACUACCAUUCAACUUUUGAGACAUGCUAGGCCAAACAGUUCUGAAAUUUUGGUGUGGCAGGUCAGGAACUUGUUGUUAACUGGAAGUCUGUUUUGCGGACCUCUGCUCCUCACGUUCAGCUUUCUUAAUACUGUUGCAAUCACAUAUAGUGCCACUGCAGCAUUGCCUUUUGGAACCAUAGUGGUGAUAUUUCUUAUUUGGGCUUUGGUAACAACACCAUUGUUGGUACUUGGUGGGAUUGCUGGGAAGAAUAGCAAGGCUGAGUUUCAGGCUCCAUGCCGCACCACUAAAUAUCCCAGAGAGAUUCCUUUGUUGCCUUGGUACCGGAAAACACUUCCUCAGAUGGCCAUGGCUGGGUUCUUACCUUUCAGUGCAAUCUAUAUUGAACUUUACUACAUAUUUGCCAGUGUUUGGGGUCACAGGAUCUACACCAUAUACAGCAUCUUGUUCAUUGUCUUCAUCAUUCUCUUGAUUGUCACUGCUUUUAUAACAGUGGCAUUGACAUAUUUCCAACUUGCUGCUGAAGACCAUGAGUGGUGGUGGAGGUAUGUUUUACUGUUAGAUCAUAUGAAGUUCGAGUAUAAACUGUUACUACUUCUGAUUUGCUUUUCCAUUAUUAUAAGCACAAUAAAAUAUCCAAGGUUCACUCACAGAAAGAAAAAAAAAGAGUUCUUUAAUGUUGUUCUUUUCUAACUUUGAGUUAAAUUUUGGCUUUUUUUCAAUGUUUUCUGACUCUUAAGAUCCUUAUCUAAAUUGCUGGAAUAUCCAAGUCAUAAUGUAAUUUUGGCAUUGAUUUAGUCCGCUCCUGGUUUGCUUCUUCUUGUCGACGUGUUUCCUGCAAAAUGCCAUGUUUUAAAAGGAUACAUGAUUGCCUGAUAUAUUUUUCUAUACACUCACUUUUAUAUAUUUGGUGUUUUGCAGGUCUUUCCUCUGUGGUGGAUCAACUGGCUUGUUCAUUUAUGGCUAUUGCUUGUAUUACUACUUUGCAAGAUCAGAUAUGUCCGGCUUCAUGCAAACCUCAUUUUUCUUUGGCUACAUGGCCUGCGUUUGUUAUGGUUUCUUCCUCAUGCUUGGAAGCAUUGGUUUCCGUGCUUCCCUGUUCUUUGUCCGCCAUAUUUACCACUCAAUCAAGUGCGAGUAGGAAGUCACAUAUGGUUUUCCUUGUGUUCAGUGAGUAGGAUCCCUUACUUUCUCUUAGCAGGCUUGAUUGAAGGAAACUCCGCUCUUUUGUAUUGAUGAAGGUAAUCUUCUGUCGUGUCGCAUUAUGUUACAGGAGAAGCAACUGUUGGCUGGGAAAAUGUCUUCUGGGAUUGCAGGAGCCUUUAUUCCACAACUUCGAAGGGAUGACCGCACAUCAAAUGGAGGACUUCUGUAAUAACCUUUUUUUAUAGGAGAGGAACAUAUAGGACCUUAGAAUGCUGUUAAAAGAAUUUGUGGUGCUUAAAUGUGAGCACAUGCCAUCGUUUUGAAUAUAUUCUAGAACUGUAAGAAGCCUUAGAAUUUGUGUUACUGGAAGCAGCACUUUGAACAUUCUUAUUUCCACAAUUUAUUACAGCAGCCAGAUAUAUUUCCCAUCAUUCAUUUAUUUCGGGGGCUGAACUAGAAAACUUGAGCAUGGCGAUGAAACCUGGCCGGUAAUGUUUAAAAAAUAUGCCAGUAAUUAUGUUUUUGCACUGCAUUAAAAUCUUCAGAUUGAACAAAAGCGAGAGGAUUAAAUUAUUUAUUUAUUAUUUCUUUUAUUUUUUUGGAACUGAACUGGAUAACCUUGGUGAGUUUUCUAUGGCGCUUGCAUUAACAGAAAAUCAUGGUCUAUUAGCAAGAUAUUUGCAAUAAGAUGAGAGGACAUGACAGCAAACUUUUGUUGAUGUCUCAGACAACAUUCUUGUCCAGGAGGGGAUGACGUUGGUAGCCUGUCCAUUUCAAUGUAAGCAGUAACAAAUCAGGUCAAGACCAGAUGCAAAUAUCAAUGCCUGCUAAAUCGCUGGAUAUGAAUUUGAUGGAUUCAUUUUGAAUUGAUCGAUUCUGUUGUUGCAUUUAAACCUAACAGUCUUACUAAUCUAGUAUUCUAGAAUUCAUUGGCUCUUCAAUAACAAUGUCGGCCAAAGACUAACUGUAGACUCCACUUGGGAUCCGGUUAAAGAUCCAGGUUGCAAGUCUAUCGAGUGGACAAAUUAACCCUAAUCUAAUAAAAAAAACUUUUAAUUUAUAUUUUUUUAAAAUUUCAAAUAAUAUCAAUUAGAUAAAAUUAAAAAAAAACCCUAAAAUGGUGUCUUCUUGGAUAAAAAAAAUCCUUAAAGUCGACCCAACUAGAUUUUAUCUGAUCAAAUUUUAAUUUGACUAACCUUAUCAUCUAUAUUUAACCGGGUCAAUUUUUAAAAUAAUUUUUUUAAAAAAUAAUUCAAAAUAGAUUUUGACUUGAUAAAUCGUUAAGUCAACUUGUUCUACUAAGAUCAAUUUAAUAACUAUGGUAGUUCAAGUUGUGGACAUGAUGAUUUAGUGUGUAUUUGAUAAUGUAGUAUAAUGUAUUUUUUAAAUGAAAAUAUAUUAAAAUAAUAUUUUUAUCAUAUUUUUUUUACAUUAGCAUGUUAAGACAAUAAAAAAUAUAAAUAAAAAUCAUCAAAUUAAUAUAUAUAUUUUUGAGUGAAUGUCCAUUACAUGGUUGAAUUUGAAUUUUAUAAUUUUAUUUUUUUAAAAUCUAAUGAUAUAAUUUGAAAUGACUUUACAUUAUAAUAUGAAACAUUGGUUACAUUACAAAAAGGAAGAAAAUAUUAUAAUUUAUAUGGAAAAAUUAGGGCAAGUCUUUACGGGUAUUUAAGAGUAGUAAUGGUUUUUUUUUUAAAUGUUUUUUAUUUGAAAAAUAUCAAAAUAAUAUAUAUACAUAUAUAUAUAUAUAUUAAUUUUUAAAAUUUAUUUUCAAUAUCAGCAUAUCAAAAAAAAAAUUAAAUCAUUAAAAAAAAUUAACUUAAAAAUAUAUAUUUUUUAAAAUUUUAACAAAAAAACAUGUUAAAACUCACUCACAUAACAUCACCCUCGUCACCCUCUUCAUCACAUAACAUAACAGCUAAUUAGGUCAUUAGCGUUCUUAACACACAAAGUGAUUUUCUUUUCCUUUCCAGGAAUUUGACCUGACCCCCACGCUUCUUCAACUGCAUGGUGAAAUAACUAUUACAACCACGUAAUGGGAAAGAGAGUUGGAUCAAAGUGAAAGCAAUUUACCACAAAAAAAGACAGCAGAAACCUCAGAAUUAACCAGAGAUUAGAUGAUGGCAUGGCAAUUUUGAUAUCCAGGGUUUGAUGAGUGUGAAGCUAAUAAGCUAUGAUCCUUGGCAUUUAAGCAUUCCCCCACCUUCAUAAUUUGGAGGGUUCCUUGAUUCCUACUCUUCAAUUAGUUCAUGCAUGUAUUUGGGAUCUAUUUCAAAUGAAGUCAAGCUUCUUCUUCUUAAUAAUAAUAAUAAUUAACGUUAAUUCAAGUGCCACCAGCUUAAUAUAUAGUAUUAAAUCUUAUUCUGCGAGUUAGUCCAACAAAUCUAUAAUUUGAAACAUGACUUGAACUUGAUUUUAAUUUGAGCUGGUUUUGAUGUUGACUUAGCCUACUGAAUUGACUCAGCAACUUUGCGAUUCAGAGCUUGACUCGAGCUAGUUUACCUAAUUUAGUUGGUUAAUCUGCUAGAUUCAUGAUUUAAAGCCUAGCUCAAAUCGAGUUUUAGUUUAAACUAGUUUUGAUACUGAUCUGAUUUAAUAAGUUGAUGUAGCAAACUCGUGAUUUAAAAUUUAAAUUGAGUUGGUUUUUAAUUUAGAUUAAUUUUAAUAUUUACCUGGUUAAACUUGGAUUUAACAUCUUACUUACCUAGCAAUCAUUUCAAAACUAAAAAAUUGAAAAAAAAUAAAAUUGAGUGUUUUAAUAUAAUUAUUUUAUAUCGGAACCAGGAAUGAAAUUAUAAAUUUGUAAAUGGUGUUGAAAAAAAUAAAUACAAAAAUACCAAGAUUAAUUUCCAAAUAAGUUAAGAGAUGAACAUUAAAGUAAAAAUAUGAUAUUUUUGGGAUGCCCAAUACUUAAUUAUUUAGAAAAAAAAUCAGACUUAAAAAUUCAAGGUUGAGAAUUUUCAAGAAUAGAAAAAUCAUUAAAACCAAAAUUUAAAUUAAAAAAAAUGACCUUAAUGAGAAGUCAAUUACUCGCCUUGUUAUUGUUAAUUAAAGAAGGCCUCUUUUUGACACGAAGGUUAACCGUUUUAGCGUCUUGAAGUCUUCUUCGAGCCACAGCCUGAAAAGUAUCCAUCUUUAUAACUCUCUCUCUCUCUCUAUCUAUCUCUCAAUGCUCUGUUUAUGAGUUACAGAGAGCGAAAAUGGAGAUGAAACUAGUGUCUUGUUUGGUAGUCUCUAUUUUGAUCCUAUGCAAUGUGACCCGUGUUAGAUCAGAUGCAUCUAAUAAUCGUUACAAAGUAGGUGAUGAUGUCCCUCUUUAUGUUAACAAAGUUGGACCUUUUCACAAUCCCAGGUAAUCCAAUUCUCUGUCUUUUGAUUUUGAUUAGCUCAAGGAUGUCGGUUUUGUGGGUUGUCUUCAAGUUUGUGACUUUUUGAUGAUUUGGGAUGGUGGGGACUGUGGGAUUUGGAUAGAAAUGAAAUUUUGGAUUGGUUUCUUUAAUUGUUGUGGAUCUGAGCUUAUGGUAAAGUGGAUCUGGGUUUGUUUUUCUAAAGAAGAAGAUCAAAGAUUGGAACUUGGACUUGAACAUGAAAAUGUUGUUGAUGUCGGUUAGGUACUAAUUAAGUUGGAAAUCUAACAAUGCUUAAUUGUUGUACAAGGAGCUGGUUAAUUUUGUGUUGGGGAGAUAGUUUAGUGGGAUUCGGGAAUGCAAGUUUUUGGAUAGAGAAAUCUGCAAGCUAGGAAAGGUUGUUUGUAAAAGAACAGAAUAAUGUCUAGAGAUGUAGGAGGUGAUUUGUAUUUCUGUUUUUUUCUUGUGAGGUGGAAAAUUUUAUUUAGGGGCUUAUUUCUUUGUUAAUGCUGAAAAUUAGAUCUCAGUUUUAGAUCCUACAAGCAAUCGAAAGAACUCUUUUCCUUACCCAAAAUUAUGCUGGAAAAUUUAACUAUAUUUUCUGAGUCCACUCUAGAUUACAUGUGUAUUUGCUUUGAUUUAGAAGGCAUGGCUGGUGGUGAGUUGGGUGGUUUGAAUUAGAUAGGAAGCUUAUAAGUUAUAAGUACUCAUAUCAUCCCAAUUUUUUGGUUUUUUAUACUGAGAUUUUAACCGUUGAACUAUGAACUUUUUUAAGUAUUUUUUAAUCAUAAUUGUCUGAUAUUGUUUCUUUCUUGUUCUUUCUGUCAGUGAAACAUACCGGUAUUUCGAUCUUCCUUUCUGUUCAUCAGGUUUGCGUCAAUUUAUAUUAUUCCUACUUUAAUUCUAUAUUUUACUGUGGAAGUUUGCUGAUGUUAUUUAUUACAGGUCCUACAAAGGACAAGAAGGAAGCCCUUGGUGAACUGUUGAACGGGGAUCGUUUAGUGACUGCCCCAUACAAACUUGACUUUUUAAAUGACAAAGACUCUGAAAUUGCUUGCAAAAACAAGCUGACAAAGGAGCAAGUUGCUCAGUUCCGAGAAGCGGUUUCCAAGGACUACUACUUCCAAAUGUACUACGAUGACUUGCCCAUUUGGGGUUUCAUAGGGAAAGUUGAAAAGGAAGGCAAGAAUGACCCUAGCGAAUACAAAUAUUACCUCUUUAAGCAUCUUCACUUCACCAUCUUUUACAACAAGGAUCGUGUCAUUGAGAUAGGCUGCACUAUCCGAUCAGAAAAAUGUUGUGGAGCUGACUGAAAAUAAGGAAGUUAAUGUGGAGUUCAUGUAUUCAGUUAAAUGGAAGGAAAC
Molecule: long non-coding RNA, 7503 nt
Filed under: Populus tremula
Lineage: Eukaryota; Viridiplantae; Streptophyta; Magnoliopsida; Malpighiales; Salicaceae
Description: long non-coding RNA (PTRE_LNC002153)
Source: RNAcentral